Rhopalosiphum maidis (corn leaf aphid) is the source of this 518-nucleotide long non-coding RNA. RefSeq lists it as uncharacterized. The transcript has 3 exons. The record is from RefSeq and is a predicted model, not a curated record. Lineage: Eukaryota; Metazoa; Arthropoda; Insecta; Hemiptera; Aphididae.
UCUACCAAGUCAGGAGAUGUCGACGACCACCACAAUGAUGAAGACUCAAGACCACUACAGCGACGAUCAAGACUUAGACGACCACGACUUACGACGACUAUGGCGACGACCAAAACUACGACGGUGGUAUUCAUAACACUGCGUCCAGGUGUAGCAGCGACUGCUGCCAUCGUACACACAUACGUCCAUUAUAAUGUACACGAAUAAUGCGUGUGACGAGGCUCACGGAAUAUUACGUCUGGAGAAUUGGAAUCAACGGAUUAUGCCCGCAAUGUAUACACACGAACGAGCGUCGCGUACUGCAUACUAUAUUAUUCCAACACAAUGCCAUAAUGGUGCGGCAAUACUGCAGCGCGGAAGCGAAGAGGAAACGAAAAACAAUAACAGAGAUGUGCUGCACCGGUUACGACGACAUGUGUAUAAUGAGAGCUGUUCCUCGUCGGCCCGUCCGGUGGUCUGCCUGCCGAGCACCGCCGCAGAGCUGCAAAUGUCGACUCGAAGAAAAAUGCGUGGCACCC